GUUGUUACUGUUACAUUGAUAAAAGGUUGGUUAGCCAAGUUAGUUAGUGAAGUUAGUGGAGGCACCAAGUUAGUGGCUGCUGAUUAGAUUAGUUAUCCAAGUUGUUAGAGUUAGUUAGGAAUGUUCUAGAAGCUCAUGUGACAUACAUGUGAGCCUAUAAAUAGCAACCAUGCUCCCCUCAUUGUAUACUCUCACCAUUUGAAUAACAAUCUCUUAGCACUUUCCUUUUUGCUCUUCUCUGCUUCAAUGGCUUCUGUGUGUGUGAGAGCAUUGUAAUGCAUCAGUUUAACAUGGUAUCAGAACAACGAUCCAUGAAGGUUUAGAGAAAGUAUCAAUACUCCAUUUUAUUUUGGAUUUUGUGCUACUAUCAGUAGGGAGAAAGUAGAUCUCUGUUUUGUAAGCUGGAGUUGGAAUUCUAAGUAAGAAAGUAAUGCACCUACGAUUGAUCCUACAGAUCCUUUGUUUCUGGGAGCAUCGGAUGUUGCUGGUGCUGCAUUGAUUCCAAUUAAGUUGAUUGGAUCAGAAAAUUAUGGAAUCUGGAGUAGAUCCAUGAAAAUUGCAUUACUAGGCAAACGAAAAUAUGGUUUUGUGACUGGCAUGUGCAGAAAGGAUAUGUAUAGAGAAGAUCUACAUGAGCAAUCGGAGACAUGUAAUGCAGUUGUGUUGUUUUGGUUGGUGAGUUCAGUAAGUGUUGAGUUGCUGAGUGGCAUUGUGUAUGCCACAAGUGCAUUUGAAGUAUAGGAAGAUCUCAAGGAAAGGUUUGACAAGGUUAACAGAAUGAGAUUGUAUCAAUUGCACAGAGAAAUCAACAAUCUUCAUCAAGGAACUGAUUCUGUUUCUACAUACUUUACUAAGCUAAAAACUUUCUGGUGUAAGUAUAAUGUUGUAAGUAUAGUGUUGUGAUCCCAGCACCAUCUUGUCAUUGUGCCAAGUCCAAAGACUAUGCAGAUCACUUAAUUCAACAAAGGUUGACACAGUUUUUGAUUGGGUUGAAUGAACAUUAUGAUCAAGCUAAGAGGCAGAUACUCAUGAAAGGAUUGACACCUACUCUUAAUCAAGCAUAUGCAAUGAUAGUUGAGGAUGAGAUUCAGCAGCUGGCUUGUACUGCAGUAACUAGUGAUAAAACCGAUCCCAUAGCUAUGCAGGUAAACAAAAAUUUUGCAGAAACAAGUCAUAGUGGUCAAGGUUAUAAAGGGAAGAGGUGUGAUUACCGUCAUCUAAAUGGACACAAUAGAGAUGCUUGUUAUAAGUUGAUAGGAUAUCCUGCAGAUUGGAAAUGGAAAUAUAAGAAGAAAGGAAACUAUAAUAGCAAUCCAAGGGGAUCAUAUCAGUCAAGAUCCAGUGAAUAUGGAUAUUAGGCCAUAUGGAUAUUAGGCCACAGGAUAAUCUAACAAUCAGUUCUCAGCUCAUAGCUCAUAACUUCACUGGGAACCAGUGAGGAGAGAUCACAAGUUACACAAAUAUAACAGGCUCAUCUAGUGGUCAAGGUGGUCAAGGGAACAAGGAUAUCAAUAAUGCAGUGGUAGCCAAAGCACAAGGUUUCUCAAAUGAAGAGUACAGACAGAUCAUGGCAUUGUUGAACAAAGAUGCACAUGAUUCAAAGCAGGUCAACAAGUCAGGUAUAGUUACUUGUCUAUCAACACAUGUUGUUCCACAUGAAUGGGUGAUAGAUUCUGGUGCAACACAUAAAGGUGUAUUUUCACAGUGCCAUAAAGUAGUUAAUACAAAAAAAAGAAAUGGUGAAUCUUCCUAAUAGAGCCAAGGCAAACAUUUCACACAUUGGAGAAACACAAAUCCUAAAUGAUGAAACUAUUAGUGAUGUAUUGUUUGUUCCGGACUUUAAACUCAAUCUGUUAUCAGUAUCAAAAAUGACCAAACAGCUUUCAUGCUUUGUGUCAUUCUACCCUGAUUUCUGUGUAUUUCAGGACCUUCACACUAGCAAGGUGAAGGGGAUUGGUAAGGAGAAAAUGGGAUUGUACAUUCUUAAGAAGGUUUGUGGAUUGAAUGAAGCACACGAAAGAAGUUCUCAAAGGCUGCUGGUUGUAAAAGUAGAUAUGCAAGACUGCAACUUAUGGCAUAGAAAGCUUGGGCACCCUUCUUCUCAGGCUUUGAAAUUACUUAGUCUAAUAAGACACAAAACAGACUUAAAGGUUCUAAAUAAAUUCCAUCUCUGUCCACUAGCUAAACAAAAUAGAAUACCAUUUCCUGUUAGUGAUUCUAGAGCUGUGAAGCCUUUUGAUGUAGUAUAUAUGGAUCUUUGGGAGCCUUACAAAGUCCCUACUUUUGAUAAGAAGCACUACUUUCUGACUGUAGUAGAUGAUCAUAGUAGGUACACUUGGCUUCACUUGUUACAGUUGAAAUCUGAAUGUAUUGUGGUUGUUAAAAACUUCUAGAAUUUGAUAAGAAAUCAAUUUGGUGCUCAAAUAAAAGUUCUAAGAUCAGAUAAUGGAACAGAAUUUAUAAACUCACAAUGUAGAGGGUUAUUUCAAUCCUUGGGUGUAUUGCAUCAAAGUAGCUGCCCCUACACACCACAGCAGAAUGGGAUUGUUGAAAGAAAGCACAGGCAAAUACUAAAUAUUGCUAGAGCUAUCAGGUUUCAAUCUCAGAAGCUAUCAAGUUUUGGGGAUUGAAUGUCAAGGCUGCAAUUUAUCUUAUGAACAGGUUACCUUCUUCAUCUAUUGGAGGUUUAUGAAGUGCUAUUCUGUAGAAUUCCCUCACUGACACAUCUCAGAGCUAUUGGCUACAAGUGUUAUGCCUCAGUACUACCCAGAGGAGAUAAGUUUGCUGAAAGAGCCAAGCCUACAGUACUCAUGGGAUAUUCUACUUCUAAAGGCUAUUAGUUGAUGGAAUUGCUUACUAACAAACUAUUCGUUACAAGAGAUGUUGUGUUUCAAGAACACUUGUUCCUUUUUGCAGACAAGACUACUUCAGAGUUGUCUACUAACUUUCUCACAAUAAGUGAGAAUGAAUGUGCAGAUGCAGACAUGGAUGAUCAUGUAGAUUCACCUGUUAUACCAGAGUCUCGUCACCAGAUGCCUAUGUCUUCAGAUGAGAAUAUGAAUAUUUCUAAUGUUCCAGCUAGCAUACUAGAUAAUGCUCCCUCCAACUCAUCAGAUGCUACUGCAUCAACCUCACAACCUGAUGUACCUGCACCAAGAAAAUCAAUCAGAGUACACAAGCAACCUGUUUGGAUGAUGGACAAGAUAUCCCUUAGCCAAUAUGUCUUAUGCUAGGACAAGUCUUAGUUAUCAGUAUUUUGUGUCCAAUUUGUCAGUAUUAGUUGAACCUCAAACAUAUAAUCAAGCAGUUAAGGAUGAAAGGUGGAUUGAAGCUAUGAAAGCAGAGGUGAAGGCACUUGAAGAUAAUCAUACUUGGGAGGUGGUUGACUUGCCACAAGACAAAAAUAUCAUAGGGUCAAGAUGGGUAUACAAGAUCAAGUAUAAAGCCAAUGGAGAGGUUGAAAGAUUCAAAGCCAGACUAGUAGCUAAAGGAUACAGUCAGCUACAAGGGUUGGACUAUCAUGAUACUUUCUUACCAGUAGCAAAGAUGGUUACUGUAAGAAGUGUCAUUGCUCUGGCAGUUUCAAAAGGUAGGUGCAUAUACCAGAUGGAUGUCUACAAUGCUUUUUUGCAAGGUGAUUUAGAUGAGGAAGUGUAUAUGGAAUUACCAGAUGGAUUCAAGAAAGAAGGGACACACAAUGUUUGCAGAUUAGUGAAGUCCUUAUAUGGACAAGCCUAGUUUCUCUCAAAGCACAUAUGAUUAUUCUCUUUUCACUUUGAAGAGAUCAGAAGAAAUAGUGGUGAUAUUGGUAUAUGUAGAUGAUCUUCUUGUUACAGCAAACAAUGAUGCCAUGAUAAAUAAGGCAAAGGGAAUACUACAUCAGCAGUUCAAACUCAAAGAUCUUGGAGAACGAAAGUAUUUUCUAGGCAUUGAAGUGUUGAGAUCUACAAAAGGGGUUAUAUUAAACCAAAGGAAGUACAUUUUGGAGCUCAUUGCUGACACAGGACUUGCUGGUGCAAAACCAGCCCUUACUCCAAUGGAAACCAAUGCCAGGCUGACAUUAGUAGAAGUAGACAAUGCAGUGGGAGUUACAGAAGAUGCUAUUCUUCAAGAUGUUACAUCCUAUCAAAGGUUGGUUGGGAAGCUAAUGUAUGCAACUAUUACAAGACCAGACAUCAGCUAUGCAGUACAAACUUUAAGCCAGUUUAUGCAGCAACCUAAGAAGUCUCAUUUGGAAGCUGCAAACAGGGUUGUGAGAUACUUGAAAGGCACUGUGGGACAAGGUGUUUGGCUUAAGGCUCAACCUACAUCUGAGCUUGUGUGCUGGUGUGAUUCAGAUUGGGUUGCAUGUCCAAAUACAAUGAGAUCUGUUACAGGUUAUGUAGUACAUUUUGGUGGUUCUCUGAUAUCUUGGAAGUCAAAUAAACAGCACACAGUAUCCAGAUGGCUUCAGCUUUAUCAGAAAUCACUUGGCUGGAAGGUCUGUUUUCAGAACUAGGUGUAUCUAUCAGUAAACCUAUCACAAUAUUCAGUGACAGCAAGUCUACAAUAUAGUUAGCAGCCAAUCCCAUUUUUCAGGAAAGAACAAAGCACAUUGAAGUUGACUGUCACUUCAUUAGAGACAAGAUCAAGGAGGGAUUGGUUCAGCCUGUGUAUGUUCCAACCAAUCACCAAGUUGCUGACAUCCUUACCAAAAGUUUGACUCAAGAUCAGCACCUACACCGUGUGAGCAAGCUUGGUGUGCUAAACAUUUUGCACCCUUCAGCUUGACGGGCAGUGUUAAAAUGUAUUAGUUAUUGAUCACUUUUCUGAGUUAGCUCAUUAGCUCUUUUGCUGUUUUUCUGGUUGUUACUGUUACAUUGAUAAAAGGUUGGUUAGCCAAGUUAGUUAGUGAAGUUAGUGGAGGCACCAAGUUAGUGGUUGCUGAUUAGAUUAGUUAUCCAAGUUGUUAGAGUUAGUUAGGAAUGUUCUAGAAGCUCAUGUGACAUACAUGUGAGCCUAUAAAUAGCAACCAUGCUCCCCUCAUUGUAUACUCUCACCACUUGAAUAACAAUCUCUUAGCACUUUCCUUUUUCUCUUCUCUACUUCAAUGGCUUCCGUGUGUGUGAGAGAGCAUUGUAAUGCAUCAAUUUAACACGAAGCAAUAAAUCGAGUCAAACAAAGUUGAAUCUUGAAUCGAAUUUGAGGAUUGCAGUACAUUAUCGAGUCCAUUGUGGCCCCAAAAUCGGUUAUGGUU
Molecule: long non-coding RNA, 5236 nt
Filed under: Capsicum annuum
Lineage: Eukaryota; Viridiplantae; Streptophyta; Magnoliopsida; Solanales; Solanaceae
Description: long non-coding RNA (CANN_LNC015139)
Source: RNAcentral